Molecule: ribosomal RNA, 440 nt
Filed under: uncultured bacterium
Lineage: Bacteria
Description: partial 16S ribosomal RNA
Rfam family: Bacterial small subunit ribosomal RNA
Source: RNAcentral
CCUACGGGUGGCAGCAGUGGGGAAUAUUGCACAAUGGGGGAAACCCUGAUGCAGCGACGCCGCGUGAGUGAAGAAGUAUUUCGGUAUGUAAAGCUCUAUCAGCAGGGAAGAAAAUGACGGUACCUGAGUAAGAAGCCCCGGCUAACUACGUGCCAGCAGCCGCGGUAAUACGUAGGGGGCAAGCGUUAUCCGGAUUUACUGGGUGUAAAGGGAGCGUAGACGGCAGCACAAGUCUGGAGUGAAAUGCCGGGGCUUAACCCCGGAACUGCUUUGGAAACUGUGAAGCUAGAGUGCAGGAGAGGUAAGUGGAAUUCCUGGUGUAGCGGUGAAAUGCGUAGAUAUGAGGAGGAACACCAGUUGCGAAGGCGGCUUACUGGACUGUAACUGACGUUGAGGCUCGAAAGCGUGGGUAGCAAACAGGAUUAGAUACCCCUGUAGUC